RNAcentral lists this ribosomal RNA (394 nucleotides) under uncultured fungus. RNAcentral describes it as "eukaryotic LSU rRNA". The stretch from base 102 to 249 matches the Rfam family "5.8S ribosomal RNA". The record is from RNAcentral. Lineage: Eukaryota; Fungi.
UCCGUAGGUGAACCUGCGGAAGGAUCAUUGGAGAUUGGGAUGAGGAGAGAGUUGGAAUGAGAGAGAGAAUGAAAUAAUACAAUAAUAUCAAAUAAACACACAACUGCUGACAAUGGAUCUCUGGGCUCUUGCGUCGAUGAAGAACGCAGCAAAACGCGAAAUGUGUUAUGAAGUGCAGUCUUUGUGAAUCAUGAAUCUUUGAACGCACCUUGCACCACUAGUGAUAGUGGUAUGUCUGUUUGAGGGAGGGAAUAAGUGGAUUGUGUCUGGGAUGGGGUGUGUGCGAUGUGUUGCACUGCCUUGAAAUACAGUUAGAACUGGUGAUUGGGAUAAUCUUGCAAUCACCACACAACAAAAUCUCCUCAAAUCAGGCAAGAUGACCCGCUGAACUUAA